RNAcentral lists this ribosomal RNA (357 nucleotides) under Lacerta pamphylica. Its description in RNAcentral is "partial 12S ribosomal RNA". It matches the Rfam family "Bacterial small subunit ribosomal RNA", at positions 869 to 1392 of the family's 1533-position model. The record is from RNAcentral. Lineage: Eukaryota; Metazoa; Chordata; Lepidosauria; Squamata; Lacertidae.
CCGCCAGAGAACUACAAGUGAAAAACUUGAAACUCAAAGGACUUGACGGUGUCCCAUAUCGACCUAGAGGAGCCUGUCCUAUAAUCGAUACUCCACGUUCUACCUAACCCUAACUAGCACAAUAUCAGCCUAUAUACCGCCGUCGACAGCCUACCCUAUGAAGGACUAACAGUAGACACAAUAACCCAACCGCUAGUACGUCAGGUCAAGGUGUAGCAAAUGCUAGGGAAGAGAUUGGCUACAUUUUUUAUAAUAAAAAACACGAAAUGUACUAUGAAACCGUACAUGAAGGUGAAUUUAGUAGUAAAAUAGAUAAGAGUGUCUAUUUUAACAACGCUCUGGGACGCGUACACACCG